AAAAUAGUGGGAAGACGCAUGAGAAGCAGUAACAAGCCUACCAAGCCUGGUGACAGCUGGUUGUCCAAGGCAGAAUCUUAGUUCAACUUUAAACUUACCCACAGAAUUACUUAAUCUCCCUGUAAGUUUAAGUGUUAGUCUACAGAGGGACAGCUCUUUAGACCCUAGGAAACGAUCUUCUUACAGAGAGUAAAAAAUAUUACCACCAUAGUUGGCCCAAAAGCAGCCACCAAUUAAGAAAGUAUUUAAGCUCAACAUCUAACUACUCUCUAUAAAAGGCUAU
Long non-coding RNA from Sapajus apella (tufted capuchin), 283 nucleotides. RefSeq lists it as uncharacterized. NCBI's taxonomy places the organism in Eukaryota, Metazoa, Chordata, Mammalia, Primates, Cebidae. The transcript is spliced from 3 exons. The record is from RefSeq and is a predicted model, not a curated record.